RNAcentral lists this ribosomal RNA (253 nucleotides) under uncultured bacterium. RNAcentral's name for it is "partial 16S ribosomal RNA". It matches the Rfam family "Bacterial small subunit ribosomal RNA", at positions 524 to 776 of the family's 1533-position model. The record is from RNAcentral.
UACGUAGGGGGCAAGCGUUGUCCGGAUUUAUUGGGCGUAAAGAGCGUGUAGGCGGUUAGGUAGGUCCGUUGUGAAAACUCGAGGCUCAACCUCGAGACGCCGAUGGAAACCAUCUAACUAGAGUCCGGAAGAGGAGAAUGGAAUUCCUGGUGUAGCGGUGAAAUGCGUAGAUAUUGGGAGGAACACCAGUGGCGAAGGCGGCUCACUGGACCGGUUCUGACGCUGAGGCGCGAAAGCGUGGGGAGCAAACGGG